Molecule: ribosomal RNA, 791 nt
Filed under: uncultured bacterium
Lineage: Bacteria
Description: bacterial SSU rRNA
Rfam family: Bacterial small subunit ribosomal RNA
Source: RNAcentral
AGAGUUUGAUCAUGGCUCAGAUUGAACGCUGGCGGCAUGCCUUACACAUGCAAGUCGAACGGCAGCACGGGGGCAACCCUGGUGGCGAGUGGCGAACGGGUGAGUAAUACAUCGGAACGUGUCCUGUAGUGGGGGAUAGCCCGGCGAAAGCCGGAUUAAUACCGCAUACGAUCUGUGGAUGAAAGCGGGGGAUCUUCGGACCUCGCGCUACAGGGGCGGCCGAUGGCAGAUUAGCUAGUUGGUGGGGUAAAGGCCUACCAAGGCGACGAUCUGUAGCUGGUCUGAGAGGACGACCAGCCACACUGGGACUGAGACACGGCCCAGACUCCUACGGGAGGCAGCAGUGGGGAAUUUUGGACAAUGGGCGAAAGCCUGAUCCAGCAAUGCCGCGUGUGUGAAGAAGGCCUUCGGGUCGUAAAGCACUUUUGUCCGGAAAGAAAACCUCGUGGUUAAUACCCGUGGGGGAUGACGGUACCGGAAGAAUAAGCACCGGCUAACUACGUGCCAGCAGCCGCGGUAAUACGUAGGGUGCAGGCGUUAAUCGGAAUUACUGGGCGUAAAGCGUGCGCAGGCGGUUCGCUAAGACAGAUGUGAAAUCCCCGGGCUUAACCUGGGAACUGCAUUUGUGACUGGCGGGCUAGAGUAUGGCAGAGGGGGGUAGAAUUCCACGUAGCAGUGAAAUGCGUAGAGAUGUGGAGGAAUACCGAUGGCGAAGGCAGCCCCCUGGGCCAAUACUGACGCUCAUGCACGAAAGCGUGGGGAGCAAACAGGAUUAGAUACCCUAGUAGUCC